UACGUAGGGCGCGAGCGUUGUCCGGAUUUAUUGGGCGUAAAGGGCUUGUAGGCGGCUUGUCGCGUCGGAUGUGAAAACCCGUGGCUCAACUGCGGGCCUGCAUUCGAUACGGGCUGGCUAGAGUACGGCAGGGGAGACUGGAAUUCCUGGUGUAGCGGUGGAAUGCGCAGAUAUCAGGAGGAACACCGAUGGCGAAGGCAGGUCACUGGGCCGCAACUGACGCUGAGGAGCGAAAGCAUGGGGAGCAAACAGG
Molecule: ribosomal RNA, 253 nt
Filed under: uncultured bacterium
Lineage: Bacteria
Description: partial 16S ribosomal RNA
Rfam family: Bacterial small subunit ribosomal RNA
Source: RNAcentral